AGUGAUUUCAGCACAAGGUAUCAUUCAUCGGGGUCUCCUCAGAGUUUUAACGCCCUAUUUUCUUCGAGCCCUUCCGUGCAAUAUGGCCCUCCGGUAUCCGCUGAGUUUCUUUACUGGCAGAAGGCCGCGCAUUAAUUUGACACCUAUACGCUUUCAAAGCUCCCCGAGUCGUGUGACUCGUAUGGAAAACUUGCUCAGGGAGCACUUAAAUGUGGACCGCGUCGAGGUGGUCGACGUUUCAGGAACUGAAAGUUUUUUCCAUGUUCAAGUGGUGUCCAAGGAUUUCAUCGGCAUGAGCUUGUUGGAUCAGCACCGCCUGAUCAACAAAAUUCUGGCUCCUGAAAUAUCAAACAUUCAUGGUUUAAGAAUAAAGUCGGCGCCGCCCGCUUGAAGUGUACUUUAAAAUAGGUCUUCGCCGCAGCGAGCUCGAUGUGCCUCAAAAACAUGUUUUGUCUUGGGGGAGAACGUCUUACCUACUUUGAGAAGGACGGCCCUUUCCCACCCCCUCAAAAGCUCACUCCAUCGAGGAAAUAGCAGAAUACUAGAAAAGUGGUUUGUCUCAUUGACUAGUUAUCAAAAAUUUAGGCAAAUUGUCCGCACAUGGUAAUUUGUAUAGGCACCUUGGGCUUAUUGCCGGCGGUGACAGAAUUGGCCAUGGAGAGUAGGCCGGAGCAGUUGUGAUUGAGUUGAAAGUUUUCGUCGUCGAACUUUUCGCCAUAAAUUGACAUGUUUCCGGUUCCGUCUCCGUUAACGAAAUCGCCGCCCUGGAUCAUGAAGUCUUUAACGACACGGUGAAAGUAGCAGUCCUUGUAUCCAACGGGCUUUCCAUCGACUCUGCGCGCAGAGGUGAGUUAGGCACGGUAGAAAAUAGAGGGGAAGAUGAUAGAGGGGAGAGCGUACAAGAAUUCGCCUGUACACAGUUGUCUGAUUUGUGGAGCGGUCAGCCAUGAAGAUGCGGGAUUUAGAAGAAAGCGCGGUAGAAAGCCAAAAGGUAAAUGCGUAUAUAGGGCGUACCUGAAGUUUUCAGCGGUCUUCGGAACAAGGUUGGCGAAGAGUUCCAUUUUGAUUCUUCCGACGUCUUGGCCACCUAUAGCAAUAUCGAAAAACAUGAUGGGGUUUUUUCUAGAGGAAGCGGAGGGCGGGAUGCCAGUCUUCUUAUCGUGUGCUGUAUUCGUCAUCUCUUCGAA
Molecule: long non-coding RNA, 1187 nt
Organism: Schistocerca gregaria
Lineage: Eukaryota; Metazoa; Arthropoda; Insecta; Orthoptera; Acrididae
Exons: 3
Source: RefSeq, a predicted model, not a curated record